AGGUACCACAUCAAAUCAUGGCCCAUCCUAAAGUCUAGUGCCACUGAAAUUUACAGCCACAGAACUGAAUUAAUCAAGAGGAACAACAACAACAAGAGUUCUCUUCCAAAAUGAUAGCUUUUUUGUAGCUCUGAAAUGAGAGGAACCCAAUCCAGAAGAAUCCACAGAAGGAGGAAAAGCCAGCAGAAAGGCAGCAGAUUAGACACAAAAUUGUAAUUGUUAGUACGCAACUGAUAAAUACAAAAGGGCGAAGAGAAUGUCAAUCCAGAAUGAUGCAAAUCCCUUCAUUAUUACUCUCGUUAAAGGACUGCUAAUGAUCAGCAAAUAGCCAAAGGCAGAGGAGUCAAUCCAAGAUCUCUUCGGUUCUUUCCUAAUCAGGUUCAUCUACGUUGCUGCAAACAACAGAAUCUCACUUUUUUAUGGAUGAAUAGUACUUCAUUGUAUGAUUUCAUGAAGAUUAAUUAGAUACGUCCAUAAAAACAGGACUUGGACUUAAAGUAUAAUAACAACAACAACAGGACUUGGAACAUAAUCUUCAGCAUGAUAUAAUGACAUGUUAUAAUUACGGAAGUGUUAAGGUACGGCUGGGCUGGCUCGUUGAGUGACUCCUAAUAUGCAGUUUAGCAAGUGUUAGAAAGACAGGGUUUCUCAGUUCUACAGAAAGUGGUCAGAAGGCUGACACAGUAACCUUUUGGGUAAGCUUUUGAACACUGGUGUACAACUUCUCUGAAAGCAGGGCGUUUGGUCCUCUGCCUUUCAGGAAUGUUCAUUUUCUAUGUCACUACUUGGCAGUCAUCUUCUUUAUGCAGCUAAACCGGGGACGGCCAACAUGCUAUGUAUCAGAUGGUAGGAAAGAAGUAUUCGGUCUUUGACCUUGAGGAAUCCUGUGGCAGGUGAAGAGAGAAAAACUGGAUGGCUCUGAAAGCUCAGUUCCAUCUUCUUAUAGAAGCUUAGCAAGAAUCCAGCUCAGUAGGUCUGAGUUAGCAUAAAAAAAGAACACAUGGUAUCUGGCUCAUUCUAGCAGUGGUGGCUAAGCUGGCCCCUUUUCUGGUCAGAAAGCUCUCCCUCAGUGGUACAGGAACUGAUCCUUCUGGAGCAUUAGGGUCCACUCCUUGGAUGGCUUGAGGAGGGAGGCCACACCUCAAUGAGUCUUCUGCUUGUGCAAUUCCCCCCAAGUCUUACUUCACAUGUAUACUGCAUGGCACCAUGGGAUGUGGGCCUGCCCUCCUUGACUCAACAAGCUGAAUUCGCUCACCAAAGAGAUAUCCUGGCAGUGCAAGCACACUAACCUUAAUUACUUAUAAACACAGACUAGAAGAAAGUCAGAAUCAAAGUCAAGUGGAAUUCAAAAUGUAGGCAUGACAAUAAAACAGCCCUGGAUUCUGAGGUCCAACAGGUGACAACAGGAAUGGCCCAAAAGUAUUUGUUUGGAGUUCAUCUCUACAUAUAAUUUGAUUUUCUGAAAAUCACUUUCUCCUGGAUUAGGCUGCAAUGAAAAUACCAAGGCAUGUGACAAGGACAGUGGCUACCCGAAUGGGCUUCUCAAAGGUGUGAAGUAACGAACUGAAUAACGCAAGUCCGAAAAUACCACUUAGGUCUCUAGAAAGUUGCAGUUUUAAGUAUUUUUAGUCCUGCAUUGCCCAGAUAAUUAGCCUUCUACCCAUUCUACGUGUUACAUAUGUAAGAAAACAAGCUCUUACGAUAGAGACCAUAAAUCUUGGGGGACAAGAUAAAGAAUAUGCUGAUUUCCACAUUUUCGUAAUGGUCUGCCUAGGGAAAUUUUCCCAAAUUAAUGAGUAUGUUCAUGGGCAAUAAAUUAAAUAAGACCA
Long non-coding RNA from Homo sapiens (human), 1829 nucleotides. RefSeq lists it as uncharacterized. The transcript has 5 exons. Lineage: Eukaryota; Metazoa; Chordata; Mammalia; Primates; Hominidae. The record is from RefSeq and is a predicted model, not a curated record.